AGUGAACGCUGGCGGUAGGCCUAACACAUGCAAGUCGAACGGCAGCACAGUAAGAGCUUGCUCUUACGGGUGGCGAGUGGCGGACGGGUGAGGAAUACAUCGGAAUCUACUUUUUCGUGGGGGAUAACGUAGGGAAACUUACGCUAAUACCGCAUACGACCUACGGGUGAAAGCAGGGGAUCUUCGGACCUUGCGCGAUUGAAUGAGCCGAUGUCGGAUUAGCUAGUUGGCGGGGUAAAGGCCCACCAAGGCGACGAUCCGUAGCUGGUCUGAGAGGAUGAUCAGCCACACUGGAACUGAGACACGGUCCAGACUCCUACGGGAGGCAGCAGUGGGGAAUAUUGGACAAAGGGCGCAAGCCUGAUCCAGCCAUACCGCGUGGGUGAAGAAGGCCUUCGGGUUGUAAAGCCCUUUUGUUGGGAAAGAAAAGCAGCAGGUUAAUACCCCGCUGUUCUGACGGUACCCAAAGAAUAGGCACCGGCUAACUUCGUG
RNAcentral lists this ribosomal RNA (492 nucleotides) under uncultured bacterium. RNAcentral's name for it is "partial 16S ribosomal RNA". It matches the Rfam family "Bacterial small subunit ribosomal RNA", at positions 29 to 507 of the family's 1533-position model. The record is from RNAcentral.